AUAUAAAACAACUCCCGAGUGACAUAGUUUAGACUAACAAGUCGAAACUUUCUAUCAUUCAGUGAUCCAAUUCCUUUUGAUCAACGGAACAAGUUACCCUAGGGAUAACAGCGCAAUCCUAUUUGAGAGUCCAUAUCGACAAUAGGGUUUACGACCUCGAUGUUGGAUCAGGACAUCCCAAUGGUGCAGCCGCUAUUAAUGGUUCGUUUGUUCAACGAUUAAAGUCCUACGUGAUCUGAGUUCAGACCGGAGUA
Molecule: ribosomal RNA, 254 nt
Filed under: Epomops franqueti (Franquet's epauletted bat)
Lineage: Eukaryota; Metazoa; Chordata; Mammalia; Chiroptera; Pteropodidae
Description: partial large subunit ribosomal RNA
Rfam family: Bacterial large subunit ribosomal RNA
Source: RNAcentral